CCCGGGGCUCCUGCAUUUCAGACAGACGCUUUACCAUCUGAGCCACCAGGGAAGCUACCUUUGAGAACAUCACAUCAAGAGAGUCAGAUAAGCAAAUGCAUCAGGAAAGAAUUUCUUGAUCUUAGUGUUUGUGGAGCCCAAAAAGGGUACAGAUUCCCUGGAGGAAUUUUUACACCAUGAAGGAUAUGCUUGAGCCAGGACCCAGGGAGAAUGAUAUUAAAGAGAUGAUGAAGAAAGCUUCAUGACUUCCUCUUAGGGAAAAGCCCAAUUCUAGUGGCCAGAGCAGUAGCAGCGAGAGGACUGGACAUUUUCAAUGGGAAACAAGUUAUCAAUUUUGAUAUUCAGGAUCGUAUCGCUCUUCAUCCUCCUCACUGCGCCAGUUGUCUGGCUCUUCACACUGUUUGCACUGCUCGCUGGUGUGCAAGGUGUGAGCUGAGAGGCCGGAGGAGGACUCAAGUAGCUGUGGGAACGGCAGACACAUUUAUUCUCUCCCGGCUGGUGCAGCAGCCGGAACAGCAUCCUCAUCUGUUUGAUGCGGCAGCUGUUAGCAGUAUACAUGCUGUAUUCUCUCCUCUUGUGGCUGACCCAGCAGACACAGCUGUGAUGCAGCAGAAAGGCCACCACUUUCAGGUGGGGGCCGUAUAUCUGGACAGCAUAAAGUAGCUCGUGACCAAGGAACAUAAGGUCACAAGAGGAGAUGAAAGGAGCAAUUAGCAGCCUUGUUUAGAGGACCUACAGAAUGUAAAAUAGCCAAGAGCGAUCCCUAACAUAAGCUGUGGACUCUGGACGAUAAUCAUGAGUCUGUGUGGAUUUACUGAUUUUAUCAAAUGUACCACUCUGGUGGAAGAUGCUGAUAACAGAAGAGGCUUUAAAUGUGUAUUGCUGCUCUUAUUUCCUCUGCCUCUGAACACAAAACAAGGAUGAGA
Long non-coding RNA from Odocoileus virginianus texanus, 926 nucleotides. RefSeq lists it as uncharacterized. The record is from RefSeq and is a predicted model, not a curated record. NCBI's taxonomy places the organism in Eukaryota, Metazoa, Chordata, Mammalia, Artiodactyla, Cervidae.